RNAcentral lists this long non-coding RNA (714 nucleotides) under Phoenix dactylifera (date palm). RNAcentral's name for it is "long non-coding RNA (PDAC_LNC009911)". Lineage: Eukaryota; Viridiplantae; Streptophyta; Magnoliopsida; Arecales; Arecaceae. The record is from RNAcentral.
AUUAAUUAUUAAUCCAAUGAAUCAAGAUGGCUCCUAAUUAGAUUAGGAUUGAAGAGUUCAAUUGAGUCAUGGUUCAUUCAAGUUCUAAUUGGAUUAGGACUAGCAUAGAUUGAACCCAAUUGAUUCAUGAUUUGGACUAAACCAAAUAGGAGCCCUAGAUGCUAUUUAAGAGGAGGCUUGGGGGCUGACCUAAUUCAUAUGUGAAGCCCUCCUCCUCUCCAUCACGUGGCCACCCUCCUCUCCUCUCUUUUCAGCCACCAACAACAAAGGGAAGAAAAGGAUCUUGGUGGCCUCCUUCUUCCUCCACCGUUUGGUUCCAACGCAAGGAAGAAAAAGAAGGCUGCAGGGCUUCGUUCCUCUUCUUCUCUUCAUCCUUCUUCUUCCUCCUUCCAAGCACAAUCAAGGAUUGAUUGAAAGGGAGGAUAUCAGCCAUCAAAGUUAUCUCUGCAAGGGAGCUAGCACCCCGGAGAGAUAGAAAGCUUGGAUCGGUUUUCUGCUUCGUGUGGAUACCCGUAGAGGCCGGGCACUUGAACGGCUUCAAGCGAACCUUCAUCCUAAACCACGAUCAUCAGUUUGCGGUGAUCAUCUACCCGCACAAAGGUGAAGAUCUGAUCUUGCUAAUGCUAUUUAAAAGUUUUUAAUCCUUAUCUAUCUACGAACGGUUUUUAAACAACGUUCAUGCGAUAAACGGUUGAUCCCGCACAUGCCUCUUCC